UGGGGUAUAGCUCAGUGGUAGGGUGUGUGCUUGGCGCACACAAGGUCCUAGGUUCAAUUCCCAGUGCCUCCA
This 72-nucleotide transfer RNA is filed under the name Camelus bactrianus (Bactrian camel). It matches the Rfam family "tRNA". From Rfam's summary of the family: Transfer RNA (tRNA) molecules are approximately 80 nucleotides in length. Their secondary structure includes four short double-helical elements and three loops (D, anti-codon, and T loops). Further hydrogen bonds mediate the characteristic L-shaped molecular structure. tRNAs have two regions of fundamental functional importance: the anti-codon, which is responsible for specific mRNA codon recognition, and the 3' end, to which the tRNAs corresponding amino acid is attached (by aminoacyl-tRNA synthetases). tRNAs cope with the degeneracy of the genetic code in two manners: having more than one tRNA (with a specific anti-codon) for a particular amino acid; and 'wobble' base-pairing, i.e. permitting non-standard base-pairing at the 3rd anti-codon position. RNAcentral also lists the same sequence under 2 other names. Lineage: Eukaryota; Metazoa; Chordata; Mammalia; Artiodactyla; Camelidae. The record is from Rfam by way of RNAcentral.